GACGAACGCUGGCGGCGUGCUUAACACAUGCAAGUCGAACGGAAAGGCCCUGCUUUUGUGGGGUGCUCGAGUGGCGAACGGGUGAGUAACACGUGAGUAACCUGCCCUUGACUUUGGGAUAACUUCAGGAAACUGGGGCUAAUACCGGAUAGGAGCUCCUGCUGCAUGGUGGGGGUUGGAAAGUUUCGGCGGUUGGGGAUGGACUCGCGGCUUAUCAGCUUGUUGGUGGGGUAGUGGCUUACCAAGGCUUUGACGGGUAGCCGGCCUGAGAGGGUGACCGGCCACAUUGGGACUAGGAUACGGACCAGACUCCUACGGGAGGCAGCAGUGGGGAAUAUUGCACAAUGGGCGGAAGCCUGAUGCAGCAACGCCGCGUGCGGGAUGACGGCCUUCGGGUUGUAAACCGCUUUCGCCUGUGACGAAGCGUGAGUGACGGUAAUGGGUAAAGAAGCACCGGCUAACUACGUG
RNAcentral lists this ribosomal RNA (468 nucleotides) under uncultured bacterium. RNAcentral's name for it is "partial 16S ribosomal RNA". It matches the Rfam family "Bacterial small subunit ribosomal RNA", at positions 28 to 507 of the family's 1533-position model. The record is from RNAcentral.